GAUGAACGCUGGCGGCGUGCCUAAUACAUGCCAGUCGAGCGAACGGACGAGAAGCUUGCUUCUCUGAUGUUAGCGGCGGACGGGUGAGUAACACGUGGAUAACCUACCUAUAAGACUGGGAUAACUUCGGGAAACCGGAGCUAAUACCGGAUGAUAUUUUGAACCGCAUGGUUCAAAAGUGAAAGACGGUCUUGCUGUCACUUAUAGAUGGAUCCGCGCUGCAUUAGCUAGUUGGUAAGGUAACGGCUUACCAAGGCAACGAUGCAUAGCCGACCUGAGAGGGUGAUCGGCCACACUGGAACUGAGACACGGUCCAGACUCCUACGGGAGGCAGCAGUAGGGAAUCUUCCGCAAUGGGCGAAAGCCUGACGGAGCAACGCCGCGUGAGUGAUGAAGGUCUUCGGAUCGUAAAACUCUGUUAUUAGGGAAGAACAUAUGUGUAAGUAGCUGUGCACAUCUUGACGGUACCUAAUCAGAAAGCCACGGCUAACUACGUG
RNAcentral lists this ribosomal RNA (497 nucleotides) under uncultured bacterium. RNAcentral describes it as "partial 16S ribosomal RNA". It matches the Rfam family "Bacterial small subunit ribosomal RNA", at positions 28 to 507 of the family's 1533-position model. The record is from RNAcentral.